Long non-coding RNA from Equus caballus (horse), 1537 nucleotides. RefSeq lists it as uncharacterized. The record is from RefSeq and is a predicted model, not a curated record. NCBI's taxonomy places the organism in Eukaryota, Metazoa, Chordata, Mammalia, Perissodactyla, Equidae.
GCGCCGCGCGCAGGCGCAGAAGCGCAGGCCGGCCCUUGAGGAAGGCAUUGGCAGCACGCCGGCGCUGCUCGUAGUACUCCAUGUAGGCACAUCCCACUCUUGCACCCAGGGACACUGGACAGCACUUCGGCUCGCCGUUUGGGGGCCGUUUUCAACAGCAAGAUCAUCCACAGAAAUGCAAAAAACGUCGCACUAAAUAGACGCCCCCCCGCAAAGGACGUGGAUUUACAGCCUGAGCUGAAGCAACAAGGCAGAGAUCACCUUGUGUGACCUUCAGCCAGAAAUGGUGCACAUCGAGCCAUUCAGAUCUUUCACCGCUUGGCACACAUCCACAAAUGACCACAAAAGCACCAGGAGCAUUGAUUUUGGGGUACAAAUAAUUCUAGUGAGCGGGGAAAAUUGCAAACAUGGAAUCUGCAAAUAAAGAAGAUUGACUCUACUCACAACAAAAUAAAAACCUACCAAAUAGAGGAGGAGGGCCAUCAGAAACGACCUUAGCCUUAUUUGCAUUGCAUUACUGUUUUUCUUUUUGCAAGGAGAAUGCCUUUUAUCUAUUUCUCAUCUAUUUAUGACUUUGUUUUUUCUUUUGUGAGGAAGAUUGGCUCUGAGCUAACAUCUGCGCCCAUCUUCCUCUAUUUUUUGUAUGUGGGACGCCGCCACAGCAUGGCUUGGUGAGCGGUGUGUAGGUCCGUACCUGGGAUCCAAACCCACAAACCCUGGGCCGCCGAAGUGGAGCACGUGAACUUAACCACUGUGCCACCAGGCCAGCCCCACGACUUUAUAUUUCAAAAAGCAGAGGGGCACUGGGCUGUGUCUGGGUAUCUGAAACCUUAAGGGAUACUGGAAGUUCCCCUUCUCCUCUCCGGAUGGGCUGCCCCUCCCUUGCUCCCCCCGUUGGUGUUCUUUCAGGGGCCACACUGUGGAUGUGCCGUAGCAGCUUGGUCUGCCCAGAUGUGGACCAUUGGGUGAGAGAGAAAUAAACUUCUAUCUGCUUUAAGUUGCUGCUGUCUUGGACUUUCUAGCAACAGCAAAACUCAUCCCCAAAGAUGGAAUUCACCAAGAAUCACACCCGUUAACCAAGGCUGACAGGAUGCUUUGAUCAAAACCCUUAACAUGUGUGGAGGGCUUCUGGGCAUCAUUUGUCAUCUCAAUGAGCCUUCGCAGCCACCCUCUGAGAUGGGGGUCCUUUUGUUACAGAUAACCCCUCCCCCCCGAGACUUUGAAGGGUGAACUCACAUAGCUAGUCGGGAUUUGAACCCAGGACCGAUUUCAAGCGUCUGAGCUUCUCCGCAAAGAACAAAAUAUUCGCAUCUGGCCAAAAAUCAGGACACGGGUGCUGAAGUGAUUUAUUGUCAGAACUUGUUAGAAGGGUUUCCAAGUGGCUUCCAGGAAGCAUUCGAGACCCAGUGAGCGUCUUACGCUGUUAGCAUAUCUCAAUUUGGACGGGGCACACAGUGACUGGUGGCUGCCAUAUUGGACAGCACAGGUAUAGAGGGUCCAUCGCCCACCCCUGCAUCAACGCCGGCUCAUCUCCUAC